UCACAGGCGUGGACGGCCGCCGGCGGGCAACCGCGGGAGGAAAGUCCGGGCUCCGCGGAUCAACGGUGGCGGGUAACGCCCGCCGGGGGCGACCCCAGGGACAGUGCCACAGAAAACAGUCCACCGUCCGGCUUUCGGGUGACGGCCAGGGCGAAACGGGGCGGCAAGAGCGCACCGCGCGGCUGGCAACAGCCGUGGCAGGGCAAACCCCACCGGGAGCAAGACCGAAUAGGCGCGUCAGGCAGGAUCCAGCCGACGGCGCGCGGGUUGGUUGCUGGAGGGUGCGGGCGACCGCAUCCCUAGAGGAAUGGCCGUCCAGGGCGUUCGCGCCCGGACAGAACCCGGCUUACAGCGCCUGUGGUGGG
This 365-nucleotide RNase P RNA is filed under the name Sandaracinobacteroides saxicola. RNAcentral describes it as "Bacterial RNase P class A". It matches the Rfam family "Bacterial RNase P class A". From Rfam's summary of the family: Ribonuclease P (RNase P) is a ubiquitous endoribonuclease, found in archaea, bacteria and eukarya as well as chloroplasts and mitochondria. Its best characterised activity is the generation of mature 5'-ends of tRNAs by cleaving the 5'-leader elements of precursor-tRNAs. Lineage: Bacteria; Pseudomonadati; Pseudomonadota; Alphaproteobacteria; Sphingomonadales; Sphingosinicellaceae. The record is from Rfam by way of RNAcentral.